UACCAGCACCCCGAGUGGUCGGGACGUUUAUUGGGCCUAAAGCAUCCGUAGCCGGUUCUACAAGUCUUCCGUUAAAUCCACCUGCUUAACAGAUGGGCUGCGGGAGAUACUAUAGAGCUAGGAGGCGGGAGAGGCAAGCGGUACUCGAUGGGUAGGGGUAAAAUCCGUUGAUCCAUUGAAGACCACCAGUGGCGAAGGCGGCUUGCCAGAACGCGCUCGACGGUGAGGGAUGAAAGCUGGGGGAGCAAACCGG
This 253-nucleotide ribosomal RNA is filed under the name uncultured bacterium. RNAcentral describes it as "partial 16S ribosomal RNA". It matches the Rfam family "Archaeal small subunit ribosomal RNA", at positions 474 to 727 of the family's 1478-position model. The record is from RNAcentral.